Molecule: non-coding RNA, 148 nt
Filed under: Pan paniscus (pygmy chimpanzee)
Lineage: Eukaryota; Metazoa; Chordata; Mammalia; Primates; Hominidae
Also listed under: 1 other name
Source: Rfam by way of RNAcentral
GCUGGGUGCGGUGGCGGGUGCCUGUAAUCCCAGCUACUCGGGAGGCUGAGGCAGGAGAAUUGCUUGAACCCGGGAGGCAGAGUUCGCAGUGAGCCGAGAUCGUGCCACUGCACUCUAGCCUGGGUGACAGAGCAAGACUCUGCCUCAA